UUAAGUUCAGCGGGUAGUCCUACCUGAUUUGAGGUCAGAUUUCAAAAUGUUGACUGCCACUCCAAGGGCGAGUCGAGGGAGGACAACAAUAGGGGAACAUCUCAGUCAGAGCGAGGAUGAUACAACGCCCAACGAGUCCGACCCACAGGUCCAACCGACACAUUUGAGGGGAGCAGCCUUGCGGCAGCAGGCCCCCAUAU
Molecule: unclassified non-coding RNA, 200 nt
Filed under: Trechispora sp.
Lineage: Eukaryota; Fungi; Basidiomycota; Agaricomycetes; Trechisporales; Hydnodontaceae
Description: partial internal transcribed spacer 2
Source: RNAcentral